UCCGGGGUAGCUCAACUGGCAGAGCGGCUGGCUGUUAACCAGUAGGUUGCGGGUUCGAGUCCCGCCCCCGGAGC
RNAcentral lists this transfer RNA (74 nucleotides) under bacterium HR41. RNAcentral describes it as "tRNA-Asn". It matches the Rfam family "tRNA". From Rfam's summary of the family: Transfer RNA (tRNA) molecules are approximately 80 nucleotides in length. The record is from RNAcentral.